ACUUGGGGAUAACUUCAGGAAACUGGGGCUAAUACCGGAUAGGAGCUCCUGCUGCAUGGUGGGGGUUGGAAAGUUUCGGCGGUUGGGGAUGGACUCGCGGCUUAUCAGCUUGUUGGUGGGGUAGUGGCUUACCAAGGCUUUGACGGGUAGCCGGCCUGAGAGGGUGACCGGCCACAUUGGGACUGAGAUACGGCCCAGACUCCUACGGGAGGCAGCAGUGGGGAAUAUUGCACAAUGGGCGGAAGCCUGAUGCAGCAACGCCGCGUGCGGGAUGACGGCCUUCGGGUUGUAAACCGCUUUCGCCUGUGACGAAGCGUGAGUGACGGUAAUGGGUAAAGAAGCACCGGCUAACUACGUGCCAGCAGCCGCGGUGAUACGUAGGGUGCGAGCGUUGUCCGGAUUUAUUGGGCGUAAAGGGCUCGUAGGUGGUUGAUCGCGUCGGAAGUGUAAUCUUGGGGCUUAACCCUGAGCGUGCUUUCGAUACGGGUUGACUUGAGGAAGGUAGGGGAGAAUGGAAUUCCUGGUGGAGCGGUGGAAUGCGCAGAUAUCAGGAGGAACACCAGUGGCGAAGGCGGUUCUCUGGGCCUUUCCUGACGCUGAGGAGCGAAAGCGUGGGGAGCGAACAGGCUUAGAUACCCUGGUAGUCCACGCUGUAAACGGUGGGUACUAGGUGUGGGGUCCAUUCCACGGGUUCCGUGCCGUAGCUAACGCUUUAAGUACCCCGCCUGGGGAGUACGGCCGCAAGGCUAAAACUCAAAGGAAUUGACGGGGUCCCGCACAAGCGGCGGAGCAUGCGGAUUAAUUCGAUGCAACGCGUAGAACCUUACCUGGGUUUGACAUGGAUCGGGAGUGCUCAGAGAUGGGUGUGCCUCUUUUGGGGUCGGUUCACAGGUGGUGCAUGGCUGUCGUCAGCUCGUGUCGUGAGAUGUUGGGUUAAGUCCCGCAACGAGCGCAACCCUUGUUCACUGUUGCCAGCACGUUAUGGUGGGGACUCAGUGGAGACCGCCGGGGUCAACUCGGAGGAAGGUGGGGAUGACGUCAAGUCAUCAUGCCCCUUAUGUCCAGGGCUUCACGCAUGCUACAAUGGCUGGUACAGAGAGUGGCGAGCCUGUGAGGGUGAGCGAAUCUCGGAAAGCCGGUCUCAGUUCGGAUUGGGGUCUGCAACUCGACCUCAUGAAGUCGGAGUCGCUAGUAAUCGCAGAUCAGCAACGCUGCGGUGAAUACGUUCCCGGGGCUUGUACACACCGCCCGUCAAGUCAUGAAAGUUGGUAACACCCGAAGCCGGUGGCCUAACCGUUGUGGGGGAGCCGUCGAAGGUGGGACUGGUGAUUAGGACUAAAU
RNAcentral lists this ribosomal RNA (1341 nucleotides) under uncultured organism. RNAcentral's name for it is "partial small subunit ribosomal RNA". It matches the Rfam family "Bacterial small subunit ribosomal RNA", at positions 135 to 1486 of the family's 1533-position model. The record is from RNAcentral.